RNAcentral lists this long non-coding RNA (237 nucleotides) under Sorghum bicolor (sorghum). RNAcentral's name for it is "long non-coding RNA (SBIC_LNC001940)". The record is from RNAcentral. Lineage: Eukaryota; Viridiplantae; Streptophyta; Magnoliopsida; Poales; Poaceae.
GGAGUGACGGAGUUGGGCUGCGAAAGCUAUCGAGAAAGGGAGUUUUUUUUGCGACAAGGGGAGUUGGAGAGUUGGCGUUGAGCUUAUUUGGGUCGGGGUCGUUUGGGUCUAAGAAGAUAGGUAAAGGAGGUAGUUUUUUUAAGUCCAUAUUAUCUCCGUAAACUUUCGUGUCCUGAAUUCUAAAACUGGGCAUCACCUCCUUAACUUUUAAAGUUGUUCAUCUUACCUCCCUAGCCU